This is a long non-coding RNA of Grus americana (Whooping crane), 11190 nucleotides long. RefSeq lists it as uncharacterized. The record is from RefSeq and is a predicted model, not a curated record. NCBI's taxonomy places the organism in Eukaryota, Metazoa, Chordata, Aves, Gruiformes, Gruidae. The transcript is spliced from 20 exons.
UACAAACUAAAGUAGAGUUGCACUGCAAGGGCAUCAGUGCUGCUGGAAAACAGCUUUAAUAAUUAAAAUAGUUUGAGAGUUUGUAGUCACAGCUGUUUACAGGUCCAGGUGGGAGCCUCGCUGGCUUAAAUGGGCAUCUUUGAAUUACUAAGGUAGAUGUGACAGCACUAAACCAAAACUGCAGUUUGUUUAUUACAGGGAGGGUAGAUGGAAGAAAACCCGCCGUAUGUGUAAUGUUGCCAACGCUCUCUGGUAUUCCCAGAGGAAAAGACAUCUCGGUGACUCUCCUCUGCCUUGUCUCCCGAGACGGACGACUUCCCAAGCUGCUGACGAUGAAAAGGUGUUUUUUUUUAAAAAAAAAAAAAAAAGUCAGAAGUUAAACAGAUGUCCUCGGAGAAGCCGAAGAUGGAAAUAUUUCUCAUGUGAGCAAUUGCAGAGACACAGAGCAGCAGCCCUUCCUACGGGUCGCGGGGAGCAGAGCUGCCUCGAGUUUCGCAGGUAAAACACGAUACGGCGCUCGACGUUGAAUUCUUAAGCGCACGGAGGAUAAAGUCCCAAGGGACUUAAUUUCCCCAGGCUGAGAGGGGACGGUACUUUUCAGAAACACGGAUAAGCCAGCUGUGUUACCGUGCCCCUUCAGUUGCUUCCAACCGCGAGCACCCGUAUUCCAGAGGCUGUUGGGAAUCCACGGGCUGUAUGCCGGCCGCCUUGCCGUCUGAGACGUCACGCUGCAGUUGCCGCUCUGCUUCUCCUUCGCUUUUGCAUUGCUUUCAUCUAGAGUGUGAAAUUCCAAGUCACCGUGAAAAAGCUGCCUUAGGAAUAUUCUUGGCAAUACUGCAAGCAGCGAGUACAGGAAGCCUCACAGGAGAGUUUGUUCCAGAAACGCUGCCAUCCACGUUUCUCAGCUGCAGGGACGCUCCAAGCGAAUCCGAACGCCGUCUCCUCCCUUCUACAGGACCUUGCUGAGGUCGAAGUACCUGGGACCAGAAAAGUUGAAUUCGGUUAUGCCGCAAUCACGACCCACUGAAAAAAAUAAUAAUAAUACUAAUAAUCCAUGAGAAAAGUUUCCCAAACCGAAAAGGGGGCAAGGCAGUAUAACCCAGAAAAGUUGAAUUAGGUUAUGCCACAAUCAUGACCCACUGAUAAUAAUAAUAAUAAUUAAUAAUAAUCCAUGAGAAAAGUUUCCCAAACCAAAAAGGGCAAGGCAGUAUAACCCCGUUACCGCCCAACAGGCUGGCCGGCAGGCAGAGCAGGAGAGCGAAGGGGAAGGAUUACGAAGGGCGAACGUGCCUCUGCUGUGUGUCGCUUACUUAGCGGCCAACGUUUGUAAGCGAAGACGAGCGGCGAGUGUUGGGAAGAGGAAGGCAGCGCUGUCUCUCCCGUUCGCUUCCAGCGCUGUUUCGUGCCACCGCGUCUGGUUUCAGCAGGCGCGUGAGGGGGUUCUGAGGACGUCCUCUUGGUAACCGAUUAUAGGCUAAAUUUCUGAAAGCAUAUUUAAGUGAAGAGAGCGUACGCAUUUACGGGGGAGUUAACCUUUCCAGUGCUCUCACAGUACCUGUGCCAGGCGCUUCACAACGAGACGCAAGAACCAACCUACAGCUUCCCACGCUGUCAUUUGCAACAGUUACCUGUUGGCCUAAAUCGCUGUGCACGGUGUUUAAUACGAUAAAAACCUCAAUAACCACAAUGCCUUUAGAAACGCCUAGCUCUUCCUUCAAUACCGUAGCACUGCGCAACAGCGGGCUCUCCCUGCCGGCUUAGAAAACCAUUUUACCUCCUGCAAACAUGAAAACCCCUUACAGAGCCACAAACGAGUUCUGCAGACGCCGGAUCAGCCCUGUGUGACCCUGGCGAUGGACCUAUUCCGCUUCUACCGCCGCUGAGGUUUUCUGUUGAUUCCCCUACCAGGGGACACGGCGGCGGUGUUGUAUCUCCUGCACGAGACGCAGCAAAUGAGAGACCGGUGUGCUUCGAGCUUACCACUUACACAGAGGAUGAGGACGGCUACAACGUAAGUACAGCCAUAGUAGCUCACAAAGUACUGACCCAGGAAGAGAGGCUUACGUGGUAACAGAUACGAAAUCCGAACAUUAGACUUGUAAGCAUCAGGGGAGUGUGUAGGGGCCAUCAGAAUUAAUUGCACUUGAGUGUAAACUGUUGACAAGCUAAAUCUCUUCAGGGGAGGAUUUGCGAGAGCACGGUAUUCUUCGGGGGACCGUGCAAAUCUGUGUUGCAACAGCCUGUUUCCUGAGGUUUCCUGAGGGAUGGGAGAGCAUUUCUAGGAAGGCUGUAUUUUUGGGGGGGUUUUUUGUAGUUACACCGCCUUUACCAGCUGCACAAAAUUCCUUCUUGAACGACUAGGUUCCAUAAAAGCAAUUACAGAAAAUUCUGGGAUUCUUAUUUUCAUUUCCUUUAGUAACUCUGCAGAGACAACUUUUCUUGAAUAAAUAAGCAGAGCGCGCACGCGAGGCGGCAGAGAACACUAUGAGCGAGCCUCUGCGUUUAUCCUUCUUCACACUGAGGAUAUAUGGAAAGCACUAUUAUGUUUUCAUGUAUGCUGUGCGCUACUCAGUUGCAACCACGUACGUAAUUUUAUAAGAAAUAUUUAAAAGGGCGUGGAAAGAUUUACUUGUUGUGCGUGUGGAACGCACAAGGGGAAAUACCGGAAGCCUUCGGCGCAAACGCUUUGAGGAGGAACUGGAUACCUAAGGCUGCGCAGACCAGAGAUUUAAUUUCUACUCUUAUCUUUUCUAGUGUUGCUGCUUGGGAGUGUGGUACUCUUAUCAGUACAGGGGAAAAAAAAAAAAAAAAAGGGUCUUUUCUUUCAAAGCACCAGCACAAUAAAAGAAAGCAAGACCUGACCUCAUUUGUUGGUGGCAGUGUUGAGAUGAACUGCAGCUCUGACCUAUUUCUCCGGAGCUACAAUUAUCUGCUGUAAUGGUACCACUUUACUUUUUAAAUCCUGGAUUACUGUACUUUGAGAUUUAGAGAAGUUACUCUCCUUCUGGUGACAGGCCUUGUUAUUUUAGGGGUAAGCCAGCGUGAAGGAUGAACGGAUGAAUGCACGUCAAUGAGCAAAGACAAGGCAGGGGCUCAAGCCAUCAUAAUGAACUUGUAAUUUUUAUUGGAAUGUAUUUAUACGUAUAAUCUUAUCAUUUAUUUAUAUAAUUUUGUUUAUUUAUAUGCACUUCUGCGGGUGUGUGUAUAUCUAUAAUGUACGUCUAUAUCCAUAUGUGUCCCCACACAGAACGAUCUCAGCUGAGGUCGUGUGGUGCGGGAUUUGGGUUUUGUUCGUUUGUCUGGCAGACUGCGCUUCGCUGUGAUAUGAUCAGCUUCUCUGUGCAACAUGGGCACGAUAAAUAUAGAAGACUUCAAGAAACCAAGUUCUUACAGAUUCAGGACCAAAGCCCUUGGUGAUAGCAGUUGACAUAGCUGCCUUUAAGUCAAUUUAAUACUCGCUUCAAUCAGCGGAAGGAAAGUGAAUUACAUUACGUGAGGAUCUGGCGGCAAAGGAGGGAUGCAGAUUCCACUAAUGGAAAGGUUUGGAACAGAAGCGGGCGGAAGAUAGUGCCGUGGUUUGCUCAAAAAUGAGAGAGAAUGUUUUCAUGGCUCCUGAGGGAAGUUUCUGGAGAAGAGGCAAAAGCAGGGAAACGAGAACGGAAGAGAAGACUGGGACCACCGCGGAGGAGCGAUGAGGAGGGGCUGCGGGAUCGCAAAGCAAGGCAGAAGGAAACAGCCGGCCUUCCCGAGAUGAAAUAGAAAGAGUGGAUCUCAUUGACUGCAGCAGGAUGUGAUUUCAACAAACGUAAACAGCAUUUGGCCGAGAUGAUAAAAGAAACGAUAACAACUACAGUCCCGUCUCCACGUCCUGAAGCAAAGAAGCGGUCUUACAUCAUGGACAAACUUAUUAUUUUACGGAAGAUGGGAAACUUGUCAAAAUCAAGGCAGUAUCUUCCAAAGUUUUUCCAGAAAAAAAGAAAAACUCGACCGCUGUUUUCUAUCUAGUUCUGAAGUCAGAAAUAUGGUCAGUGGGGAAGAAGUCAGGCUCCGGAGCAGCAUUUAGUUCUGGUCUCCCAAAAGAACGGUAACGUCCUUCACGCAGUUAGCCAAGCGCAAGGCGAAGAGACCACAUAUUCACCGUCAUUGUGUGCAAGUCGCUUGGGGCUCCUGCGGAUUCUGCAGGGAGGACCUGUAUCUGUAGGUCAAGUAAAGAGGGUCUGAAGAACAACUACAUCAAGAAAGAAGCAACGCAGAAACAGAAACCUGAAUCAAUAUUCAGUCGAGCCCAUUAAUUAUGCAACUCAUUUUGUACUGAUGGAAACGCGUGCACUUGCUUCCAACCGAGUCACCUCUUACCUGCUGGGAAGCUACGAGAGCGCUGGCAGCAGCGCGGGAGGCGAGCAGGGGUGCGGUGGCAGCGCCGUGACCCGCACCUCAAGGAACUGAGCCCCCAGCGCUGAGCGGGUAUGGCAGGACCCAGCCACAGCCUAUAUCAUCCCAGCUAUACGUAUGCCACCGUAUGGAUUGCCUCUGUCAUCUGCAGCGCUUUUGCAGCGGACUAUUAACUUCAUUAGAAUAUUUUGGAAUCACAGCGUGGCAAAUAAUACCAGAAUCUUCUCCCAAAAGAAAAUAUCAGCACGCUUUCCUAUUCCUACUACACAUCAGAUGAAAUGAGUCUUCUCUUAAAUGCGUCUUCUCAUGAGUAGUGUAGUUUGUCUGUAUUGUCACUGCUCUUUGGUAAUCUCACUUGCAGGAGGAGGAAGAGGGAUGUAGCGGCUCCUCCGAGUAGUAAGGCUGUUUUGGGUUUCUGUUGUGGUAGUACCGAAGGGUUCCGAUAGGAUGCGAAGUUACUCUGUCACCCCUUUCACUGUCGGACAGAGUUCAUCCGACCUACAAAGUUCAUUCACAGUCCUAUGACUUCUCCAUUCUUGAUUAUCCUGAAUUUAUACUGGUAUAACUUUAUACUUCUACAAUACUUCAAAACCUUGAAAAAUCCUUUAAAUGCUGUCUAAAUCUUUAAAUGCUGUUUACAUUUUAAAUACCUCAAAAAUAUUUGAAAGUUACCUUUAAAUGACGUUUAAACGUGGGAAGUUUUUUUUCCUAUGUCUGAUGUCACUUUUUUUUUCUUAUGUAGGCGGGUUUUUUCUCCAGCCUUUGCGUUGCCUACCUGCAGCGAUCCUACGUCUAGCUGCAGCCCGCUCUCCGUACGUACUGCUCAUCGCCGGUUUCCCCAGGGUACGGCAGGCUCUCUCGUUGGCGAGUGCAUAAUCUCCGAAAUGAGAGGUAUCCAUCCCACCCCAACAAGGCGAGCCACAGCCUCGGAGCUUCUCGGUGCUCCGCAGCAGAGGCUCAUGUACGGCAUCGUCUCCUGGCUACGGUCACCCUUCGUUUUACUCCAUCCCACUGCACGGGAACUGCUCAGCACGGAGUACGUUUGGAUGGCUGCAAGGGAAGGAGCUGCUCGCCUUCGCUCCUGUAAGCUGUCCACGCUGCUUCGGAAUAGCAAAGCCAAGGAGUGGCGAAGGGCCGAGCUGGAGAAGACACUUGCCCUCAACCAACCCAGAUGUAAGCAAGAAGCAAACGGUUUGCACGUCAGCGUACACCUGAAGAGAACGUAGGCGGUAAAGUCUGUCAGAGAACCGACGGGAUCAUCUUUAAUUUGCUCACUGAACAGAGAACAGUAAAGAUCAUUACAGUAGCCUUUUGUACCAUAAAAGCAGGGAGAACAAAUAUCACGUUACACGCAAGUGAAACCCAGCGGUCACAUUCACAGCUGUGCCCUUAUCACGAUCUUUCGCGCUACAAUAAAUGUUCUGUGGAGCCGGAGAUAACAUGGUAGAGGAAAUGUUGGAAAAUGCUGGCACUCUUGCAAAUGAUUAAAACAAAAACAAAGAAAAAGGGGUUUCUCGUAUUACCGAUUUACAUUUUGCAAAGUAACUCCACUUGGAAAGGAAACCAAAACUUCCCUUAGUUAGUUUUGUUCCAGUGAGCUGAUUUAGAUAAUUUGCACUUAAGUCAUUUGCACAUUUAAUCAUUCCUACUUGAUAAUUUUUUGGCCAGUAAAUAAGAAUAUAUUUGUUGCUCUGAGCAUUCUGAAGUACGCUGAGCAAAGACGUAAGAAAUGGCAUUCUGACAAAGUUAAAUUAGUCUACGGGCUAGCUGUCUGGAUGUUGAACAUAACUUUAUUCUUAUUUCCCUUCAUUUUUCUCUUACUGUUAGCACUCCCUGCUGUCUAGGUCAUGAAACCAGUUACCGCAUUUCUUCUCUACUUAUAUUUAAAGCCUCCACAAGUCUUACAACUGUGUUUUUCUCAAAAGCCAGCCUUCUUCCCAGUCAACACUGUCUCAGCACCAGCCUAUGCACUGCUUCUUUCCAGAUCUUCCUGAUUUCUGACCAAAUCUUUCCUCCUCUCUUCGGUUCCAUCUGUCCAAACCAUUGCCAUCAAAAUAUUUCCCUUUUCUCACCACUCUGAGAACGUUUCCCUGCUUCUAAAAUCUCAGCAUUGGCUUACUUGACCUUCGGUGCCUGGUUAGACCAGCCAAGGGUUUGCUCCUCGUUGUGAUAACCGGCAAUAAUCUCCAGCAGGCUUUUGGGUGACUUAGGAGGAACUGAAGGGCAUCAUAUUAUUGCCAUUACUUUUCACCACCUCUUCCCGUUCCAGUUCUUGUGGGAGCUGUGGUACUGGACUGCUCAGACCAGCACGUGGUCACGGUGGGUUUGUAGCGUUUUGGAGUUGCCUGCGUUCUCUGAUGACUUUACGGAGCUUGCUCAAUGCAAGGGGAGCACAGCAGAAGAGCGAACGCAGACUCCUGUGUUUGCUACUUCAUUUGUAAAAACUUGUGAGCUUCUAUGGAGUAUGUCAGCUGAGAUCACAGUUAAUUCAUAAUCUUGAUGAUAUUGAGGUUGUCAUAGCCGGCUUUUCCAGAUGCAUAUAUUUAUCUUGAAAUUAUAGGACAAGGUAACAUUAAAAUCAGACCUCUUACCAUGCCAGAGAAAGGCACGUAUUUCUGAGCGUCUGUCACCGCUGAACCAAAAGUAACAAACUCCUGGGAACUCUGGAGGGAGAUAUAUUUAUCCUGAGUCAUCCAGUCAUACGGGGCUCAAGGCUGGUGCUAAAACUUCCAGAAACAUUUGGAAAGCAACCAUGGAAACCAAUCAAACAACCGAAACCCUCGAAGAGCAGUAAGAGCCCAUCGGAGCCAGCACUCACGCGUCAGGACAUCCCUUCUCUGCUCAUUCGGCUUCUGCCACGCACACCACCUCCUCCAGCACACCACCUCCAAAAUUGCUGUGCUUUUUGCCUGCACUGCGGUGGCCUGAUGUUUCCUGAAACUCUGCAAGUUAGCUUGUGAUGACCCUCAAGUUGUGUCGCACUUAAACGGUUGAUCUGCUUAUAUUUGUCAGUAGAGGUUUCCCUGAAGUAGUUCAACUGCUCCUACGCGAGACAUGAACGUUGUCAGCAACAGAUCUCUACCCUUAUACCGACAAGAUUUCACAAGCCAUUUUCCAAAAGUAACUUUGAGUUUCUGGGGCCUGAUCAGGUGAGUUUUGUUGUUCCUCUUCCCUUUACUCUCCUCGGAAGGAGCUUUGUCAAUGUGACGUAUCUCCCUGGCACCCUUCCUACGGUUGAUUCGUCUACGUGGGAAAUCUCUUUCCCGUUCUUCUCAGAGGAGAGCGGCGAGGAAUUUAAUGAGGUCUGGGUCUAUAUGAGUUUCAGAGAAAUUUGUAAGAGUCAUGCCUGUAUUUGUCACAUUUAUGUUUCAGACCAGAGCGAUUUUUUUGUUAAUGUUGGCAACUCCGAACAAUGAAAGUCUUAAAGUUAUUAAAUGUAAACUGUGUCGGCCAGCUGAUGGGGAGGAAAAUCCAGACUUUAGCGGCAUCUUGGAAUCGUUCAAUUUUAAUUCUUGAAAUUAACAUCAAAGAUAUUUUUGCUUUAUGGAAAAUUUUUCAUCAUUUUCCUUCUUUUUCGUGCUUGUUCCUCACUGUACCGUCUAACUGCAACGUAACUGUACGUAUGGGUGCGCGCCCCGAUAUAUAGCUAUUGGCAGCAUUUGGGAUAUCAGUCCUGGAUGUGGGAUGCAGCAAAGACAGAUAAGCAGUUUACAGCCUAGAGAGGUCUUACAGAAUUCAGUCUGGGAGCUCUCGUGGCUCUGGUGCCCAGAAGAAAAAUGCAGUCUGGAAAAAUCUUUUCUGUCUUCCUCUACAAAAUGACUUUUGAGGUUCAGCAGUAAUCUUGGCAGACCGCGAGCUAGCCUGUCUGCUUACGAAUAUUUACAGCUCCACUUGUCCAAGCUCUUCUCUUUACCAUGUCCACCAAGUGAUCUACUGAAAAGAAGGGAAAGAAUCCCAUUAACUUUGGUAGCUACUGGGAUAACUCCUUAUUCAACUCAGAUGGGAAGGGUGACUUGCCUACGUAUAAAUAUAACCGAUGAUGAACCCAAUAAUAAUCCAGCUGGUCAAUGGCUCAACGUUGAGAAGGAGAAAUAUCCCCUUCCCUUUUUUAAAAAUAUAUUGUAACUAUGCAGUAAUGCUCCUAAAUAUCAUUUAUAUAAGUUCAUAAUACCUUUACUGAAGCAUUCUGGACACCUUCCAUUGAACACUGGUCUUCCCUUUGUCAGAUCUGAGGAUUCAAAAUGUUAUUGUUAGAGCAGUGGUGUUUGGUCUCUGAAUUCCUGAAUUCAGCAUCCCAUUGACAUGGUUUCAGUCAUUAAGCAUGUAAGGUAGCAACCUCCGGCACACUUUUCUGUGUUCUGCUCUUCCUUCUCACCUUCCAGUCCUUGCUCCAUUGACUAAUUCAUUCACGGCUUGAAGUAUCUUUUUUGUAAUAAUAUCUAUCGUUCAAAUCCACGUCAUGGAAGUCAGUGGCAAGAGGGGUAAUUCUGGGAAUGUUGCUGACUCUGCUACUUGCUUGUAGGAAGAGCUGUGUAAAUAAUGUAAUAUUUUGUUUGCUAGGAAUUCAUAAAAAAUUACUCAGCUCAAAAUUAAAGCGCAUUAAAAAGAAAUCACUCUCUUCAAAAGCGUUAUGUUAAAGGAACAUUCUUAAUUAAAAAUACCUUCAAAUAAAAAAAGAAAAAUGUUUUAUUUAAAAUCCUGAGAUGAAACUUGCAUCUUAUUAGAGCAUUUCUGUUUCCUUUCCAAUGCAAACCAAUGAAAACAUCCCAGUUUUGCUAAACCCUUACUUCUGUCCUUGCCGCACACACGCACAAAGAUGAAAAAGCCGCAUUAAUUUUUCACCUAGCUCUCCCUGCAGUGCUUCCCGAGUUGGAGUUAAAUGGCCAGCAAUGCCUCCUACUCUGUCAGGAGUAAUGCUUUUUUAGGCAGAGAGAAGUUUUGGUCUCCUGCAUACCAAGAGCGUGACAGAAUCACUGAGCUAUCAAAUCAGUUAUUCUGCCAACAUCUUUCCGGUUCGCUGGAGAGUAAAUUAAUCCUACAUAAGAGGGCUCCAGCAGGAGAGUAAGAGCGAGCGCGCACGCUGCCGUAGUCAGGGAGCAAGGUGCUUGCCAGGAGUGUAAAUAAUGGAUAAAUAAUUAAUUUUCUUUGGGGAGCCUUCAAGGAUCGACUUCUCUGCUUAUGCGGACAUGGUGGGACAACUGCAGCAAGGGGUUGAGCUAGAGAGCUGCUCCGUGGAUAGAAAACAAGCCCUUGGGCAGGUUGCUCGGCAGCUCCGUCACGGCUCUUGCCCACUCACUGGAGACCUGGGAUGUCUGGGACCGGCACCAGUUUCUGGAGUCAGCACCGAUCAGAAGGUGCUGGGGAGGGAGCUGCUCCAGCAGAAGACGUUAGGACGCACCAUAGCCCACCACCAUCACUUGGAAACCAUAGGCUACAAGGAGCGAUUCUGGCACGCUGGCCGAGUGACGUUAGCAGUGCUUCUGCAGCUUCCUUUAGGAGAGUCCAACAGCUCCGAUCUCGGGUUCCUUCCCCUCCCGGACGCUCCUGAGAUCAAGCCCACAACCACCUUCUUGGCCAGUUUGGGGAUGUUUGUCGUGCGUUAGCAAUGCGAGCCUCUGUGGAACGACGACAAUUCUUUCAGUGUGCCAGGAAGGAGGCAUUUGGAUCACAUUUUUAAAUCGACAAGAUAGGGAUUUUUGUUGUUGUUGUUGUUGAUCAAAUUACGGUUUUUCAGCUUUAUUGCCGUAAUGUACCCGUAACUGCUUCAAUGGUUCCCAUCAGUUGCCCCAAGGCAAUCAGCUCUUAGCCGCAACAAUACGCCCAGCCUGGGGAAGGAUCGAGGAUUUCUGUUCACAAAUGUCUGGCCAGAAAACAAGUAUUUAUUUAAACCCAAGAUUACUCAGGUUUUCAGGCCAUUUUCUGUCUAGACCUCGGCUGUCAAUGGCUGUUGCGCUUGUUCACGAACUAAAUAUACAAUAUUCCCAGCAGUCCUCACAAUGAGAAGUCUACUCGAACGACCUUUCGACAGCUCUCUGACUCCUUCAAAACGUAAGCAAAUUGAAAAAUCUGUAUUUGCAAGCUCAGAAAUAAAAUGAAAAGCUCACUUCGGCCGUCUAAAAAUAAAGCCAUAUAAAGCAAAGACCUUGCUGAAUAGCAAACUCUUAAAAUAAAUACAAUUUCCUUUGCCACAGUAAGUGUUGUUUCAGAUUCUAAAGUUGAAUAUAUAAUUCAUUGCACAUUUUGUUAACCUGCGGGAACUUUAGUGGAACAGCUCUUCACUUUCUUACGGACUCGAACUGCUUAUUGCUCUCUUAAAACCCCAACUUCUGGAGAAGAGAAACUUGCUCUGGGAUGUUUUUUAAGCUUUUUUUUUUUCUUUUUCUUAUUUGGUUCAUUAUUGAGAUCUGACUUUCUGCACCCGCUAGAUCCAGCACAGAUUGAUUGUUUCUGGGGCCUUAACAGAAACCUCAAACUUGGAGAAGUUAACCCAGCGGGCCAGAUCCUUGGCUGCUGCUCUGGCCGCGCUGGUCUGCUCAGGAAGAAUUUGGAGAACGUCUGGAGUGCUUAAACAGCAGCUACAAAUUACGGUUUUCUUUCAGGGCAAGAGUGAACUACGUUUAAGAGAUAAUUGUCUUAAGAAGAAAGAAAAAAACCCUGAAGUGUUUCCAAGCCAUUCAUCGCUUCCCUAGUUUCUCUCCUUAUGGAAAUUGUCCAAGUCCUAUGAUACUGAUCUUGUAAACAAUUAUUUCCCUUCCUUAGCUCCUGUAAUAAAAUUCAUACUUGAUAUUUCUGUUAGAA